This 309-nucleotide long non-coding RNA is filed under the name Gossypium raimondii (Peruvian cotton). RNAcentral's name for it is "long non-coding RNA (GRAI_LNC003153)". Lineage: Eukaryota; Viridiplantae; Streptophyta; Magnoliopsida; Malvales; Malvaceae. The record is from RNAcentral.
AAUGCAUAAUUUUAUAAAUUUAAUGCGGCGUAAUCCAAUCACAACUUGGCCAAAGCCUAAGCAUACACACCAAACAUGCUAGCCAAAUAAACAUAUAGUAUAAGCAUUAUAAGCAUGGAUAAGCACCACAUUUAUAUAUGUAUCAAACUUACUGUAAUGACCCAUUUUAGCCUGGGCCCAAAAUUGAGAAUUCAAAGUCCAUAUUACAAAGUCAAAAAAAAAAAAAUUUAUAGCCCAAAAUAGCUUAAACCAGUUACAACACUUAGCCCACUAACCUAAACCCUAGCCCGAUUACAGAGGCCCAACACC